This is a long non-coding RNA of Lagopus leucura (white-tailed ptarmigan), 103 nucleotides long. RefSeq lists it as uncharacterized. The transcript has 3 exons. The record is from RefSeq and is a predicted model, not a curated record. NCBI's taxonomy places the organism in Eukaryota, Metazoa, Chordata, Aves, Galliformes, Phasianidae.
GGAGUUUAUUAUGGGAGUCCUGGAUAAGGUUUUAACUGAUAGAAUCUCAAUUCAACUGAGAAGAAUACAAAGGAACUGCUCCUUCAUAUACACUUUUGUUAUC